UACAGAGGUCGCAAGCGUUGUUCGGAUUCACUGGGCGUAAAGGGUGCGUAGGCGGUCGGGUAAGUCUGAUGUGAAAUCUCACAGCUUAACUGUGAAACUGCAUUGGAUACUAUCCGGCUCGAGGAAUGGAGGGGAGACUGGAAUACUUGGUGUAGCAGUGAAAUGCGUAGAUAUCGGGAGGAACACCUGUGGCGAAAGCGGCGCACUGGACCACAACUGACGCUGAGGCGCGAAAGCUAGGGGAGCAAACAGG
This 253-nucleotide ribosomal RNA is filed under the name uncultured bacterium. Its description in RNAcentral is "partial 16S ribosomal RNA". It matches the Rfam family "Bacterial small subunit ribosomal RNA", at positions 524 to 776 of the family's 1533-position model. The record is from RNAcentral.